AAAUUAAAUUUUCUUUCAAAAGCCAAGUAGGGCAAAGACAUUAAGAAUAAAAUCUUUUAAUGAAGAAAACAGCCUUGAAACAUUAACCAAAGGAGCAGAAGCAACGUUUGCCUCAUGCUGGAAAGAUGUACUUUAACCUUCACCUUAGAAGUGAGCAGCUGAAAACUUUGUACUUCAGCAUCAUUUGUGCCAGUUUUCUAUGGUAAACAGACCUCCGUGAUGACGCUCCCACUUCUUAUCUGGGACAGAUUUCAACUUCUGAACCAGCAGUCAACAAAGAUUCCCCCAGCUGCUGGGAAAAAAGAGGACAACGCCACUUCUCCCACCUGCAGAGAAGGACUGUA
This 344-nucleotide long non-coding RNA is filed under the name Buteo japonicus. Its description in RNAcentral is "lncRNA (ENSBJAG00000010495.1)". The record is from RNAcentral. Lineage: Eukaryota; Metazoa; Chordata; Aves; Accipitriformes; Accipitridae.